This is a long non-coding RNA of Cylas formicarius (sweet potato weevil), 2470 nucleotides long. RefSeq lists it as uncharacterized. NCBI's taxonomy places the organism in Eukaryota, Metazoa, Arthropoda, Insecta, Coleoptera, Brentidae. The transcript has 3 exons. The record is from RefSeq and is a predicted model, not a curated record.
UUUUAUCGUUUCCUUACGAAGAACCGCCACCAAAUAGAGAAUUAAUGAUAGAAUGAACUUUACCAGAACAAGUCAUGAAUGAAAUUGAGUGAAGCAACGAAGGAAUCCUUCAAAAUUUAAUCAAAUUCUGGACUGCGGACAGAAUCACAACAGACCAGCAAGUUUCGGUCCAUGCUGGCAAGAUUUACACAGAACUAGGACGAGGAAGGAAAAACAAAAGUUUUUCCUUAGACUUUUAUCAUUUUCUUAUGAAAAAAACGCCACAAUAGUAUAUUAUGCAACAAGUGCGGUAAACGGCAUUUGACUCACGAGUUUAUUUGACACGAGCGGAGCGAGUUUUUAAUAAACGAGUGAGUUAAAAAGUUUACCGAACGUGUUGCAUACUAUACUUUUUCUACGACCAUUAGUUUUCAGGUACAUUUUCGCAAAACAACACGAAUACAUUCACUGACAUGACCGUCAGAAUUGACAAACGUCAAAAUUCAAACCGUGGGAAAUAUCUCCGAAAACAUCCGAUUGCUCCCAAAUCCGUGCCGUAAAAUCCCGGAAAUGUCAGAAGUGGCUCGGAUUCGUGGGAAACGAAACUGACGUGACGGGAGUAGAAAAAUAUAAUAGCAUAUUAUGCAAGAAGUGCGAUAAACGGCAUUGGACGAAUGACUUAAAAAGUUUACCGAACAUGUUACAUACGACCGUUAGUUUUUGGGUACAUUUUCGCAAAACAACACGAAUACAUCCAGUGACAUGACCGUCAUAAUUGACAAACGUCAAAAUUCAAAGCGUGGGGAAUAUCUCCGAAAACAUCCGUGCAGUAAAAUCCCGGAAAUGUCCGAUGUGGCUCGGAUUCGUGGGAAACGAAACUGACGAGACGGGAGUAGAAAAAAAUCAAUGAUAAACUUAUCAGAAAGCAAUGAAUAGUUUAAAAUUCAAUCAAAGUCUGGUCUAUGCAGAGCUUAAGUAACUUAAAACUAUGAUGAAUUUUUAAGAAAGAUGGCGAUAUAUCAAGUUUAAACACAACACACCACACAAUAAAAAAAAUAAACACAAAUAAACACAAUACACAGCAAAAUGCCACAUAGGUGCCAAAUAUUCCUCCGUACAAAAAGAUUUACAACCAUCAUCUGUAUGCAACAUAGAAUUAAGACUUUCCUCCAUUCUGGGUCUAAAUAACUUUUAGGUAAAUGAACCCAGAAACCAAAUGCAUAGUUCUUUGGCUACUUCUUAUAAAAGUUUGGUAUAUUCGUCAAAAUCUCCCUUCAAAUAAGGAGUAGAAGUCUGUGGGAGUUCCACCCUAUUUCGCGAGAAGUGUAGAGGUUUUAUACCUAGUUUUGGAAACAUAUGUCUGCUGUAACUGCCUUAACUGUGCUCUAACCUCUCGUUUAGACUUAAUGAAGAAACCAGGAAAAAAUGAAAGAAACUUGAAUAUAUUGAUCAUCUUGUGACAGAUCAUACUAACUGCUACUACGAAACUUGAUGACGGGAAAAAUAAAUAGAAGAAAAAGCCAAGCAAGGGGAAGAAUCUAGUAGAUGAAAAAAUUGUUAAACUUGCUUGAACUUGAACUCCAGCUGUUUACAACAGCUGCAAAUAAAAUCCGCCUAGUUAUGAUUGGAUUCAACCUUGGCUUGAAGACGGAACUAGAAGAAGCAGGAGGAACAUAAUUUAGUUUAUAAAAAAUGCUUCGCGAACGGACGUUAAAAGUUAAUGUAUUCAAAUCGAUCAAGAUGGUUUCGAAAAUAACCCGCUGCGUGUGUGUUUUUUUUUGUGUUUUACUUUCAUUACAGUUAAUAAUACCGAUAAAAAAUUAACAUUGUUUAUAUUACGGCGCAUAGCUAUUCUCAAGUCUUUAGGAUUAUGAUUACGAAUCUAUUCGAGCUUAAAUGACCCGAAAUACGUUACGGUGUUAUUAUUAGGCGUAAUAAUACGGUAGGUGGUCAUAUACUCCAGAUUGAACGGCGGAAUAUAAAGACGCGCGACUCUCGGUAAUUUCGAUCACAAAAUAAACACGCUUGGUCGUUAACGGGCAUUAUACCGAGCCUUAUAUCCAAAGGUAACUAGUUUUUUAAAAUAAUGCUGAAAAUUUCUACUACCGGAUAUCAUUUCCUUGACUUUGUUAUCGUGAUUGGUUUCCUGCGAAGGAUGUCCUCUCCAAUUGGGACUUUCGAGUUACGCAAGUUGGGGUGACUGGCACUAUCUGCCGGUAUUUACCCUCAAGCGAAAAUUCCAUUUAAAACAGGGCAGGCUUCAAUUCCGCACCCUAAGAUUAUCCAACCAAAUUAUUAUCCUCCGGUAGGGGGAUGCUGGGAACUCCAAUAAGUGGGCAUUUGGAAAUUGGAAGUAAAUUAUCAGUUUGUCUCCGAUAUUAUUUGACGAGAAUAAAAGCCUCAUCUAUAACCUGUGGUAAUGGAAACCCGGUAACAAUGACGGUUAACUUUUAAACAUACACCAUGUCUAGAUGGGGUAGACAACUGGACU